Molecule: ribosomal RNA, 582 nt
Filed under: Caulobacteraceae bacterium
Lineage: Bacteria; Pseudomonadati; Pseudomonadota; Alphaproteobacteria; Caulobacterales; Caulobacteraceae
Description: bacterial SSU rRNA
Rfam family: Bacterial small subunit ribosomal RNA
Source: RNAcentral
AGUUAGUGGCGGACGGGUGAGUAACACGUGGGAACGUGCCUUUAGGUUCGGAAUAACUCAGGGAAACUUGUGCUAAUACCGAAUGUGCCCUUCGGGGGAAAGAUUUAUCGCCUUUAGAGCGGCCCGCGUCUGAUUAGCUAGUUGGUGAGGUAAAGGCUCACCAAGGCGACGAUCAGUAGCUGGUCUGAGAGGAUGAUCAGCCACAUUGGGACUGAGACACGGCCCAAACUCCUACGGGAGGCAGCAGUGGGGAAUCUUGCGCAAUGGGCGAAAGCCUGACGCAGCCAUGCCGCGUGAAUGAUGAAGGUCUUAGGAUUGUAAAAUUCUUUCACCGGGGACGAUAAUGACGGUACCCGGAGAAGAAGCCCCGGCUAACUUCGUGCCAGCAGCCGCGGUAAUACGAAGGGGGCUAGCGUUGCUCGGAAUUACUGGGCGUAAAGGGAGCGUAGGCGGACAUUUAAGUCAGGGGUGAAAUCCCGGGGCUCAACCUCGGAAUUGCCUUUGAUACUGGGUGUCUUGAGUAUGAGAGAGGUGUGUGGAACUCCGAGUGUAGAGGUGAAAUUCGUAGAUAUUCGGAAGAAC